GACGAACGCUGGCGGCGUGCUUAACACAUGCAAGUCGAGCGGUAAGGCCCUUUCGGGGGUACACGAGCGGCGAACGGGUGAGUAACACGUGGGUGACCUGCCCUCAGCUCUGGGAUAAGCCUGGGAAACCGGGUCUAAUACCGGAUAUGACUCCAUGACGCAUGUUGUGGGGUGGAAUGCCUUGUGCGGCUGAGGAUGGGCCCGCGGCCUAUCAGCUUGUUGGUGGGGUGAGGCCUACCAAGGCGACGACGGGUAGCCGGCCUGAGAGGGCGACCGGCCACACUGGGACUGAGACACGGCCCAGACUCCUACGGGAGGCAGCAGUGGGGAAUCUUGCG
RNAcentral lists this ribosomal RNA (338 nucleotides) under uncultured bacterium. RNAcentral describes it as "bacterial SSU rRNA". It matches the Rfam family "Bacterial small subunit ribosomal RNA", at positions 28 to 368 of the family's 1533-position model. The record is from RNAcentral.